UACGAAGGGGGCUAGCGUUGUUCGGAUUUACUGGGCGUGAAGCGCGUGUAGGCGGGUAGUUAAGUUGGGGGUGAAAUCCCGAGGCUCAACCUCGGAACUGCCUUCAAAACUGGCGACCUGGACUCAAGUAGAGGCAAGUGGAAUUGCGAGUGUAGAGGUGAAAUUCGUAGAUAUUCACAGGAACACCAGUGGCGAAGGCGACUUGCUGGACUUGUAGUGACGCUGAGACGCGAAAGCGUGGGGAGCAAACAGG
Molecule: ribosomal RNA, 253 nt
Filed under: uncultured bacterium
Lineage: Bacteria
Description: partial 16S ribosomal RNA
Rfam family: Bacterial small subunit ribosomal RNA
Source: RNAcentral